Molecule: long non-coding RNA, 567 nt
Organism: Cryptomeria japonica (Japanese cedar)
Lineage: Eukaryota; Viridiplantae; Streptophyta; Pinopsida; Cupressales; Cupressaceae
Exons: 2
Source: RefSeq, a predicted model, not a curated record
CCUUAUGAUUGCUCAUAGUUUGCAAGAUAAUUGGAGGAAAUCGUCUGAAUUUGGAGAGGCUUGAUUUUCUACCUUCUCAUUGUCUGGUAAUUGUUUUGAUUUCUGCAAGGAAUAGGUGAUGAAUUUGGCAAGGAAAGGGUGAUGUGUAUGUGUGUGUGUGGGGGGGGGAUGAUGUUGUCUACCCAUGCCCUCUCUCCCUGUCGUCAUGUCCUCUCUCACGCCUCUCCCUCUUUAGCACCAUGUGGGCAUUCAAAAAAAAUAAAGUGGAAGGUGGGGGUUGGGCGAUAUGCUAAGAAGAGAGUCAAUGCCUUACUCCCACAUAUUCUUCCACCAACACCCCUGUCAAUGCCUUGCUGAAAUUUUCUGCAGGUUAGAGUUGGAGUAGGGCGAUGAUGGUUUUCCAUGCCUCCUCUUCUCCUCACCUCUCAUCCUCAAAACCCCUCUAUGAUUUUGUUCUCUCCUUCCAGGCAAUCAAAUCGCCUUUCCUCUGUUUAUUUUAUUUAAGUUUGCCCAUAUCAAUAUCGGGUUAUGAAAACUUAGCAGUAUGGUUUACUGAUUGUCCUUGAA